Molecule: ribosomal RNA, 497 nt
Filed under: uncultured bacterium
Lineage: Bacteria
Description: partial 16S ribosomal RNA
Rfam family: Bacterial small subunit ribosomal RNA
Source: RNAcentral
GAUGAACGCUGGCGGCGUGCCUAAUACAUGCAAGUCGAGCGAACAGACGAGGAGCUUGCUCCUCUGACGUUAGCGGCGGACGGGUGAGUAACACGUGGAUAACCUACCUAUAAGACUGGGAUAACUUCGGGAAACCGGAGCUAAUCCCGGAUAAUCUAUUGAACCGCAUGGUUCAAUAGUGAAAGACGGUUUUGCUGUCACUUAUAGAUGGAUCCGCGCCGCAUUAGCUAGUUGGUAAGGUAACGGCUUACCAAGGCAACGAUGCGUAGCCGACGUGAGAGAGGGGUAGGCCACCUGAGAACGGGACCGGCGUCAAUGGGACUGAGGGACGGAGCAGACGGGAACCGUCCGCAAUGGGCGAAAACCUUACGGAGCAACGCCGCGUGAGUGAUGAAGGCCUUGGGAUCGUAAUACUCUGCUGUUAGGGAAGAACAAAUUUGUACGUAACUAUGCACGUCUUGACGGUACCUAAUCAGAAAGCCACGGCUAACUACGUG